AGUUGCCAACGACGACAACUACGCACUAGCUGCUUAAAAACCAGUUUAGUGCCUUCUGCCCAGCUGUACUUGUGCGGCCGGAUCCCAGGAGUCACUUACACAAGAUCGCGGUGAGGACAUGUUCAGGGCCUAAUCCGUUAAAUCCUUACUGAGCUGGUUACAGGUUUUCCCUGCCCGUCGGGUAGCCCGUAAUGAGAUUAAAGACGGUAUAAGCAUGUAGACCUCGUAGUGGAGGAUUUGCGGACGCCGGUUCGAUACCGGCCGCCUCCACCA
RNAcentral lists this transfer-messenger RNA (273 nucleotides) under Woeseia sp. RNAcentral describes it as "partial transfer-messenger RNA". It matches the Rfam family "transfer-messenger RNA", at positions 89 to 374 of the family's 374-position model. From Rfam's summary of the family: Bacterial tmRNA, also known as 10Sa RNA or SsrA, is named for its dual tRNA and mRNA-like properties. The record is from RNAcentral. Lineage: Bacteria; Pseudomonadati; Pseudomonadota; Gammaproteobacteria; Woeseiales; Woeseiaceae.